RNAcentral lists this ribosomal RNA (669 nucleotides) under uncultured fungus. RNAcentral's name for it is "eukaryotic LSU rRNA". The stretch from base 250 to 403 matches the Rfam family "5.8S ribosomal RNA". The record is from RNAcentral. Lineage: Eukaryota; Fungi.
CUUGGUCAUUUAGAGGAAGUAACGGUCGUAACAAGGUUUCCGUAGGUGAACCUGCGGAAGGAUCAUUAACAAAUCAUGAUUGCAGGCCGGCGGGGUAAAAGCCGCUAGCCUUGCAAAUAAGCCCGAACCUGUGUCUUCGGACCGGGUUAGGUGUGUUGAGUACUUCACGUGCCCAGCGGUGAAGGCAUUCGCCGGAUCCACAUAUACGCUUGUAUGUUUGACAGUUUACAGUUGACACUUAAAAAUGACAACUCUUAACAAUGGAUCUCUUGGCUCUUGCAACGAUGAAGAACGCAGUGAAAUGCGAAAAGUUACGCGAUUUGCAUGAAUCUGUGAGUCAUCAAGUUUUUGAACGCAUCUUGCACCAUAUGAGUAAUUGUAUGGUAUACCUGUUUGAGAAUCGUAAAAUCCCAUCCUAACCCUUUGUGGGUUAGGGAUUUGCUAGUGACCCUUGGGUCUCUGGUUAAAUGUAAUAGGUAAAGGAUUAGGUUAGUGGCCUAAGACACUGUGUGCUAGAGGUGAUAAGCCUUCUCACGGUGCGCCUUGGGUCUACAAAAGCUAGCCUAUGACUGGCCUUAACUGCUAUACGUAAUGUAUGCAACCCCCCGUCUUUGAUCUCAAAUCAGGUAAGGCUACCCGCUGAACUUAAGCAUAUCAAUAAGCGGAGGA